GGUCGUCCUCAGAUCUUCACGUGGUUAGAGCGUCCGCCUAGGAUGCAGAAGGUCGUGGGUUCAAUCCCCGGUCGAGUCA
Non-coding RNA from Potamilus streckersoni, 79 nucleotides. The record is from the annotation of a GenBank genome assembly. Lineage: Eukaryota; Metazoa; Mollusca; Bivalvia; Unionida; Unionidae.